AGGGAACGCUGGCGGUAGGCCUAACACAUGCAAGUCGAACGGCAGCACAGUAAGAGCUUGCUCUUACGGGUGGCGAGUGGCGGACGGGUGAGGAAUACAUCGGAAUCUACUUUUUCGUGGGGGAUAACGUAGGGAAACUUACGCUAAUACCGCAUACGACCUACGGGUGAAAUCAGGGGAUCUUCGGACCUUGCGCGAUUGAAUGAGCCGAUGUCGGAUUAGCUAGUUGGCGGGGUAAAGUCCCACCAAGGCGACGAUCCGUAGCUGGUCUGAGAGGAUGAUCAGCCACACUGGAACUGAGACACGGUCCAGACUCCUACGGGAGGCAGCAGUGGGGAAUAUUGGACAAUGGGCGCAAGCCUGAUCCAGCCAUACCGCGUGGGUGAAGAAGGCCUUCGGGUUGUAAAGCCCUUUUGUUGGGAAAGAAAAGCAGCAGGUUAAUACCCCGCUGUUCUGACGGUACCCAAAGAAUAAGCACCGGCUAACUUCGUG
This 492-nucleotide ribosomal RNA is filed under the name uncultured bacterium. RNAcentral describes it as "partial 16S ribosomal RNA". It matches the Rfam family "Bacterial small subunit ribosomal RNA", at positions 31 to 507 of the family's 1533-position model. The record is from RNAcentral.